UCUGAAAACGGUUGUUGGUAC
RNAcentral lists this unclassified non-coding RNA (21 nucleotides) under Dictyostelium discoideum. The record is from RNAcentral. Lineage: Eukaryota; Evosea; Eumycetozoa; Dictyosteliales; Dictyosteliaceae.